Molecule: ribosomal RNA, 241 nt
Filed under: Mycobacterium tuberculosis
Lineage: Bacteria; Bacillati; Actinomycetota; Actinomycetes; Mycobacteriales; Mycobacteriaceae
Description: partial 16S ribosomal RNA
Rfam family: Bacterial small subunit ribosomal RNA
Source: RNAcentral
AAGAGUUUGAUCAUGGCUCAGAUUGAACGCUGGCGGCAGGCCUAACACAUGCAAGUCGAGCGGUAGCACAGAGAGCUUGCUCUCUGGUGACGAGCGGCGGACGGGUGAGUAAUGUCUGGGAAACUGCCUGAUGGAGGGGGAUAACUACUGGAAACGGUAGCUAAUACCGCAUAACGUCGCAAGACCAAAGUGGGGGACCUUCGGGCCUCAUGCCAUCAGAUGUGCCCAGAUGGGAUUAGCU